Molecule: long non-coding RNA, 559 nt
Filed under: Fragaria vesca (wild strawberry)
Lineage: Eukaryota; Viridiplantae; Streptophyta; Magnoliopsida; Rosales; Rosaceae
Description: long non-coding RNA (FVES_LNC004478)
Source: RNAcentral
CUUGGCCUUACAUAAUCAUCCCCAAACAGCAAUAAUCUUUCCCAAUUCAAAUUUAAUAUAUGACGAAUUCUAAAACUAUUCUGAUCAGAACAAUUGUGCUCAGUUUGUGGAAAGCCUUAAUUCGAUGGCUUGCCCCCCAGCUAUGAAAACAUAUAGACGUACGUAAGACUGUCAAAAUGAUUCUUGCUUCCAAGUGGAGAAAUGGAGAACGAUUGAUAUAUCACACAGAAGAGAAGCCUUAGUUUGCUUUGAGAGAGAAUAUACUACACAAAAGAGAAGCUGGGUCCUUCCAAUUUGAUUCCAGUAUAAGGUUUUGGUCUUUUGGAGAGAAAAUUAAGAAAGAAAAAAAAUGGAUGGUAGACCGAUUUGAACCGAGCGGGCUUGGAAUUAGCUAAAACAUAGAGCCAAGCCUGCUGUACAUGCAGAUAUGCUCAUAUAGUAUAUACUAACUAACUUAUUUGUCAAAACCUCUGUUGGCUUAAGCCCCGCCUGAUCCUUCCUAUAGCUAUCCUUCCUGUAGAAUUAUUUGUAGCUAUCCUUGUUUUGCUAUCCUUUCUUU